Non-coding RNA from Caenorhabditis elegans, 21 nucleotides. The record is from Ensembl. Lineage: Eukaryota; Metazoa; Nematoda; Chromadorea; Rhabditida; Rhabditidae.
UUCGAAGGUCAACAAAAUAUU